GCUUAGGGGGUAUUGUUUUUGAUAGGGAGGUUUGGCUCCGGGCAGAGAUUCACUUUGACUGGGGGCACAGAGAGUCUGCCUGUAUCUGUCUUCCCUGUAUCCCAUAAGGAAUCAGGGAUUGAGGACAAGUCAAUGGUAGGUUCUGACACAUGGCUGGGCAUAGUGAGAGUUGCCAGAACAUUUGAAAGAGAUAUCAUUUGUUUGUCCUCUAAAGGCACAGACAAUGUUACUUUUCCAGUGGGGCUAUACUGGAUAUUUGCACUAAGAGGAGACAGUAUCUACUGCCUAGUAGAUUAGCAGGGGCAUGAGGGCUGUGUGGUGACAUUCUGUCAUCAAACUAAUAUGGUGACCAGGGGUCAUGUGACCAAGCUCAUGUUUACUUUUCUUACAGUGGGAUAAGCUUUACCCUUUUGAAAUGUUAAUUGGUAAUUCAAUACCUUUACAAGUCAGGAAAGAGAGAACCACUUUCUCCAUUCCUCUCUGUUCCUUCUUGGCUGUGCUACUGAGCAGUCCCUUAAGCAGACAUGGGCUAAUUUCUAUCAUGGUGAACUGUGAUUGGGAUCUGGUGAUUUUAUAAGAUGUAGUUGUUCUUGUUAGUUAGGUUGUUGUUGCUGUUAUUGUUGGUAUAGUUAGUUAGAU
Molecule: non-coding RNA, 639 nt
Organism: Pelobates cultripes (western spadefoot toad)
Lineage: Eukaryota; Metazoa; Chordata; Amphibia; Anura; Pelobatidae
Source: the annotation of a GenBank genome assembly